GAUGAAGAACGUAGCGUAAUGCGAUAAGUAGUGUGAAUUGCAGAAUUCAGUGAAUCAUCGAAUCUUUGAACGCACAUUGCGCCCCUUGGUAUCCCGAGGGGCAUGCCUUUUCGAGCGUCAUUUCACCACUCAAGCCUGGCUUGGUGUUGGGCGACGUCCCCUUUGGGGACGCGCCUCGAAACGCUCGGCGGCGUGGCACCGGCUUUAAGCGUAGCAGAAUCUUUCGCUUUGGAAGUCGGGGCCCCGUCUGCCGGAAGACCUACUCGCAAGGUUGACCUCGGAUCAGGCAGGGAUACCCGCUGAACUUAAGCAUAUCAAUAAGCGGAGGA
This 329-nucleotide unclassified non-coding RNA is filed under the name soil metagenome. RNAcentral's name for it is "partial contains 5.8S ribosomal RNA, internal transcribed spacer 2, and large subunit ribosomal RNA". The stretch from base 1 to 120 matches the Rfam family "5.8S ribosomal RNA", at positions 35 to 154 of the family's 154-position model. The record is from RNAcentral.